AGGUUGUGGCAAUAUAAAUGACUGGAAAACCAAAAUUAUCAAAUUCAUCUACAACAGGUCUCAGCCAGCGAGUAAUCAUGACACCUAUAAUCAAUAAGAUCUACAUCAACAUUUUUAAAAGAGAAGAAGAAAAUCCCAAAGUUCAAAGCUAUUCAUCAUCUUAAAAGUUUCACGG
Lucilia cuprina (Australian sheep blowfly) is the source of this 175-nucleotide long non-coding RNA. RefSeq lists it as uncharacterized. The transcript is spliced from 2 exons. The record is from RefSeq and is a predicted model, not a curated record. NCBI's taxonomy places the organism in Eukaryota, Metazoa, Arthropoda, Insecta, Diptera, Calliphoridae.